RNAcentral lists this small RNA (729 nucleotides) under Pongo abelii (Sumatran orangutan). RNAcentral describes it as "processed transcript". The record is from RNAcentral. Lineage: Eukaryota; Metazoa; Chordata; Mammalia; Primates; Hominidae.
AGUGUUCUUUGGAGUCUGGGGAAGUUUGGCCUUUAAAAAUCAAACUGCCAUGGACACUGCUUUACCCAAAAUUUUGGUUCACAUUCUUCACUGGAUUAACUAUUGGGGCAAACAACGUAUAACCAUGUAAAACCAGUAAGCUUGUAUUGGCAUUUCAUGGCUAGAGUUCUAAGUCACAAGCACCUCUUCGGCAAAGCCCACCUCCCUCUCUCGCUUGAUUCCCCGGCCAUCCUUAUCAAAGACCUUCCAGGUGAACAGGCAGCCAUCCUCAGCAGCAGUCAGCAGGAACUGAUCAUCAAAGAACCUCGCUCUGUUGCCCAGGCUGGAGUGUAGUGGCGCCAUCUUGGCUCACUGCAACCUCCGCCUCCCAGGUUCAAGCGAUUCUCCUGCCUCAUUCUCCCCAGUAACUGGGACUACAGAAACUUGCAAAAAUAGCACAGAGAGUGGACUUCUGGAAUGGCACGGCAACAAAAUUCCCUACGGCAGCACCCAAAGGCUUGAAAUUAGCCAUUCCAAGUGUGUCCAAAAAACUAAAGGAAACCAUGAUUAAACAAGUAAAGGUAGAAAUGAUAUGCAUCAAAUAGAGAAGAAUAAAAGGAUCCAUCAAUAUAGGGAUAGAACUGUAAGAAAAUAGAAAUUCUAGAGUUAAAAAGUACAAUAACUGAAAUGAAAAAUCCACUAGAGGUGCUCAAGAAUAGAUCUGAACUGGCAGAAGAAUUAGUGAACUUU